RNAcentral lists this long non-coding RNA (1117 nucleotides) under Homo sapiens (human). RNAcentral describes it as "non-protein coding lnc-FBXL15-2:2". Lineage: Eukaryota; Metazoa; Chordata; Mammalia; Primates; Hominidae. The record is from RNAcentral.
GCAGAAGGAUCACUUGAGCCCAAGAGUGUGAGGCUGCAGGGAGCAGUAAUUGCACCAGUGCACUCGAGCCUGGGCGACAGAGCAAGAUCUGUCUCAAAACAAAUAAAUAAAAAUAAAUAAAUUAUUUUGAAAAAGUAAAUACUGUCUAAUGUUAGCACUAUGUAAAAAAGAGGUUUAAAAGAUAAGCUCGGCCGGGCGUGGUGGCUCAUGCCUGUAAUCCCAGCACUUUGGGAGGCUGAGGCGGGUGGGUCACGAGGUCAGGAGAUCAAGACCAUCCUGGCCAACACGGUGAAACCCUGUCUCUACUAAAAACACAAAAAUUAGCCGGGCGUGGUGGCGGGCGCCUGUAGUCCCAGCUACUCAGAAGGCUGAGGCAGGAGAAUUGCUUGAACCCAGGAGGUGGAGGUUGCAGUGAGCUGAGAUGGCGCCAGUGCACUCCAGCCUGGGUGACAGAGAGAGACUCUGUCUCAAAAAAAAAAAAAAAAAAAAAAGCUCACUCGUGCAGUGGCUCACGCCUGUAAUCCCAACACUUUGGGAGAUCAAAGCAAGUGGAUCACUUGAGUCCAGGAGUUCCUUUGAGACCAACCUGGGCAACGUGGUGAAACCCUGUCUCUACUAAAAAUAUAAAAACUUAGCUGGGUGUAGUGGCACACGCCUAUAGUCCCAGUUACUAGGGAAGCUGAGGAGGGAGGAUUGAUUGAGCCCAAAAGGUCGAGGCUGCAGUGAGCAAUGAUUCUGCCACUGCACUCCAGCCCUGGGCAACAGAGUGAGACCCUGUCUCAAGGGGAUUUAAAAAAAAAAGCUCAUUGGUUGGGUCCCAGUACAAUGACUCAUACCUGUUAUGCCAGUGCUUUAGGAGGCUGAAGUGGGAGGAUCCUUUAAGACCACCUGGCAACAUCUCCUAGACCCUGUCUCUAUAAAAAAUUAAAAACAAGGCUGGGCACAGUGGCUCACGCCUGUAAUCCCAGCACUUUGGGAGGCCGAGGUGGGCAGAUCACGAGGUCAGGAGAUCGAGACCAUCCUGGCUAACACAGUAAAACCCCGUCUCUACUAAAAAUACAAAAAAUGAGCCGGGCGUGAUGGCGGCCUGUAGUCCCAGCUACUCUGGAGGCUGAGG